Molecule: ribosomal RNA, 279 nt
Filed under: uncultured bacterium
Lineage: Bacteria
Description: partial 16S ribosomal RNA
Rfam family: Bacterial small subunit ribosomal RNA
Source: RNAcentral
UGCCAGCCGCCGCGGUAAUACGGAGGGUCCAAGCGUUAUCCGGAAUUAUUGGGCGUAGAGGGCGCGCAGGCGGUCUUGUCCGUCAGGUGUGAAAGCUCGGGGCUCAACCCCGGACGUGCAUUUGAAACAGCAAGACUUGAGUACGGUAGAGGAAAGCGGAAUUCCUGGUGUAGAGGUGAAAUUCGUAGAUAUCAGGAGGAACACCGGUGGCGAAGGCGGCUUUCUGGACCGAAACUGACGCUGAGGUGCGAAGGCGUGGGUAGCGAACAGGAUUAGAUA